RNAcentral lists this ribosomal RNA (498 nucleotides) under uncultured bacterium. RNAcentral describes it as "partial 16S ribosomal RNA". It matches the Rfam family "Bacterial small subunit ribosomal RNA", at positions 29 to 523 of the family's 1533-position model. The record is from RNAcentral.
AUUGAACGCUGGCGGAAUGCUUUACACAUGCAAGUCGAGCGGCAGCGCGGGGCAACCUGGCGGCGAGCGGCGAACGGGUGAGUAAUACAUCGGAACGUACCCUGUCGUGGGGGAUAACGAGUCGAAAGAUUCGCUAAUACCGCAUACGACCUGAGGGUGAAAGCGGGGGAUCGCAAGACCUCGCGCGAUGGGAGCGGCCGAUGGCGGAUUAGCUAGUUGGUGAGGUAAAGGCUCACCAAGGCGACGAUCCGUAGCGGGUCUGAGAGGACGACCCGCCACACUGGAACUGAGCCACGGUCCAGACUCCUACGGGAGGAAGCAGUGGGGAUUUUUGGACAAUGGGGGCAACCCGGGUCCAGCCAUUCCGCGUGAGUGAAGAAGGCCUUCGGGUUGUAAAGCUCUUUCGGCAGGAACGAAACGGUCCUUUCUAAUACAAGGGGCUAAUGACGGUACCUGAAGAAGAAGCGCCGGCUAACUACGUGCCAGCAGCCGCCGUAA